UCUGGACCUCAGUGUCUUUGAAAUGGAGAGGAAGAUGUAAUGUAUGUAAAGGUGUGGCAUCUUGUGGACUUUCAGAAAGUGGGGUCCAGCGUGAGAGUCCUGAGAAGCCUCCCCAGGGGGGCCCUGUGUGGGCUGUGGAUAGUGAGGCCUGAACACAGGUCUGGAGUUCAGAGGACUGCUGAGUCUGAGGCUGGGAUACUGGGCUUCGAAUUCCAGCUUGUCCUCCAGCCAACCACAUGUUCACAUCCACUGCCCUCUCUGCCCCUACGUUUUCUCGUUAAACAUGCAUCACAUCUUUGCUUACCUCAGUGUGGCCACAAGUAUCGGUUAGUCAAGUAUGGGAAGGAAUCUUCUGGAGUGCACAGGGCUCUCUCUAGGACAAUCCUCUCACCUUGGAUUGGGGGGAGUGCCUACACCCGGAAGUAGGGAAAUAUGGGGAAUCAUAGUAGGUGAUCAGAAAUUAGGACCAAUGUGUAUGCCUGGGAAGGAAGCAGAAAGCGUAUCACCCUGUGUGUGUUGCCUGCCUCCUGCCACCCAGUGCUAUGAUCUGCUUGAGUAGUGUCACUGCCGUCUGUCAGCAGCUCUGAAAUAUACGGCCUUAUUCUGUCCUCUUCCCUGUAUUUAUACCUAGUUAGCAAGGUUUGGCAGGGAGGUGAAUCUUCAGGGGUGGUUGCUGGCAGCAGGCCAUAUAUGGUUCUUUAAAACUGCAUUUUGUCCUUAGCCUUUGCUUCUUACAUUUACAUAAAAAAAAAAAAACUUGUAUGGGGCACCUCCUGUCCACCCAGCACUUGACAUAAUACUGUCUCACUCAGACCUCACUUUAAGCUUAUCACAGUAGGCAUAGGCCAUCUUAUAGAUGAUACUCAGAGAGUGUAUUAGGAGUUUUUGGUGCCAAGAGAUGGAAUCCACAACUCAAAUCUGGCUUAAGAGUAAAAAAGGGAGUUCAGUGGCUCAUGUACCUGCAAAGCUCGGUGGGAGGUCAGGUUCCAGGCUAAGCUAUUUUCAGGUCUCAGAUCAUCUCCACAGGGCGGGACCUGCUUUCCCGUUUCACUCUCUGACUUCCUUUACAGAGCUCCCCACCCCACCCCACCCCACCCCACCCCACUCCACAGGAACUGGCCUUUCCUAGUGGUCCCAGAAAGAGAAUUUGGAUCAUGUGCCCAGCCAUGACCCAAUCCUUACAUGCCCAGAAGUUUGGAAGACUCUGACAGGCCAGUUGUGUCAUGUACCCCAGCCCUGACCCAAUCCCCCUGCCCAAGAGCUUGGAAGGCUCUGUUUAGUCAGGUUGGACGAUGAGCCCAGCCCUGCAGGUGGGUUCAGGUCCGGGAAACCCAAAGACUGAGAAUGGCAUGUUCUGUUCCUAAAGAGCCCAUUAGGACACUGCUGGGGGAGAGUGUUUACGAUGGUGGCGGUCCUAGACCAGGUUAGGUGGCCUGACUGGCAUUACAUGGUGGGCACAGCGCAGAUGUCAGCCUGAGGCUGGCUUUCAAAGGCCUGCCAUUCUUGCUACUCAGGGCUCAACCCUCAGCCCCAGUACACAUUACAAUCAGGGCUAGAAACAAAGUAAAUUAUGAGACCCGGUCCACACCCUGAACAAAAUUAGAUGUUGUAGCUAACGUGGAGUGUGGGCAUCAGUAUUUCUCAAAAGCUCCCGAAGUGAUUGUAUUGUGCAGCCCGAAUCAAGAACCAGUGAAUCAGGCUGGCCCUCCACCCCCUCACUGUAUGCCGUAGGUCACUCAACGUUGCAAGCGCAACCACUGUCAAAGGAGGGCUCAGAGUGCAGACAACCAGCAGUUGCCUAAUUGGUGGUGCACACUUUACAAGAGUGAGAAACACCCGGCCUGGGGCGAGUGGCACUCUUCCUCACCGCCUGCCGUGGCAGCCCAGCCAGGACCCUGGGCUGGAAGCAGGCUUGCUGUGGAAACAGCGGGCACCCAAGCCACCAGCAUCCCCUGUUCCUCUUCUAAGACAAAGGGAAAACAUCUCAAAAGCACCUCUGCGUGGCAGAAGAGGAGCCGACGCUGUUGCUGCACGUGCCGGGCGCUGCCUCUACAGCAGAGCAAACUGAGGCUCCCAGAGGCUCUGUGACCUGCCCGAGGGCUCACGGGAGCCAGCCCCUGGCACUGAGUCCCGACUCAGCUUGCUGAGGCCCCAGUCUUCGGUCUCUGCCCAGUGAGAGCCUACAGCUCCUUAACAAUCCGCGGCCCGUCUCCUGCUCCCCCACCCCACACCCCUUGUUUCAGAACUGUGUUUGGCUUCACUACACACGACUGCUUAUGGAGUCCUGCUUGCCUCCGUGACACAAGCCAAAAACCAAGAGCCUCCAUCUCAUACGUGUGUCCCUUCCAGGGCUUCUGUCUGUGCCACAUCUUCUUCCCAACAGUCCACUUGGCCACUUCACUCUGGUUUUCAGCAAGAUCCUUUAUUUAUUUGUCUCCUGUUUCCCCCACUGCGUCCAUGAGUACAGGUAGCCAGGUACCUCUACGGGCUGCUGGCUUUGUAAACGUGGAGUGGUCAGUGUGUACAGAAAUCAUGCACCUCAGUGAUUCUUUAACAAGAUACUCAGUGAGCAAAAAGACUUCAGGUGGGUUUGAGAUUUCUACCCUUUGCUGCAUUCUCAUCGCUGAAAAAUACCUGUGUAGAAAUUUUGCUCACAUGUAGACCCGUUUUCCUUUGCAGACUGGCUAGUGCCUGCUAGUGCGUCUCACGCUGUGUCUACUCCUGUGGGUGCUUCCUCACAGAGGCUGCUGCCUUCCACUCGGAUACAAACGCUGGACCUGUACGUGUGACGUGCUGGACACUCACACUGCCCCAUGGCUUUAGAAAUCCGACAUUGCUCAGGACACAUCUGAGACAAGCAUCUCUAGUAUGGCUGGAGGCUCCUCUCUCACACAUAGGCUAACAGGAGGCUGCUUCUAGAAUUAGUGCCUCGAACCAGCCACAUCCCUCACAGGAGACCGGAAAGCCAGCACUGUGCCGGGGGUCCUCUGGGCUGGCCAGCCCCGGCGCUGGCACUCAUGGACAGCCUCCUGCAACGACACACACAGGACUGGCUCCUCCACCAUCUCUGAGUCCCCUGCUUGAGCAUUUAUGUACAAAUAAACACAAAGUCAUAAGCAACAGAACCCCAAAGCAAAAUGGACACUUUGGUCAGAUCUACAAUCCAAGUUUUGGCCAGAGACAGGCUCUCCCAGGAAUCACCUGGUGAGGCCCCAUCCCACCACAGCUCCUCCUGUCAGCCAGCCUGGCGGUCUCGACGUUCAUCACCGUGGAUGCGAAACAGCUCACCGGGGAAUAUUCCAGGCCCGGUUUGGCAGUAGGACUUCUGUAGGCAGUGAGGUAAGUGAAUCGCAUGUUCUGCGACUGACCCGUGGGAGCCCCAGCUCGGCUCCUGAGGACACUAGCCUCAGCUUUGAAGGAUGGCAGUGUUUACAGAAGAGCCUCCAGUCCCACCAGCCAAAUGCUCAUCGCCCUCAGGAACCUGCCAGGGUGUAGGGGGAGGUGAGCAGUGGGGACAAGUCCCCCAAGGCCCUGACACUGGGUGCUGGGUGCUGCCCCUGCCUGCGUCCAUCCUGCCAAGGAAGUCGGCCGGGUGCGGGGAUGGUGGCCGUCCCCUGCCCUGAGGUGGCUGAAGGGUCCCCCUGUUGGACUGUGACAACAGUGGAGACCAAGCUCUCCAGCUCUCUGGUUUGCAGUUUUUUGUAUUUGUUUUUCUCUUUUAAAAGGAGUUGCAUGUUACCACGUUCAGACAAAUAACCAUUUGGUUACUCAAUUUCAGAGCACUGAAAAGACCAGGUAGCAACCUGACGCAGACAAUGGGGGGCACCGGGCCUCUGGUCGCCGAGCCAAGGAAUGCGUUAUCAGGCAGGAAGGAACUGCGGAAGCAAAUGACGGGAAGGGAAAAGAAAAAUCUAAGGAAAUACAAGCUGAAAUUUUCCCGUUUACAAUAACCAAAGGGAAGAGGGACUCAAUGUGAUAGAAAAAUCCCGAAUGAGAGCUUUCUGCUGAGGCAGGUCUCUGGACAUGGAGUCUGGGUCUGGACUGUACCCAUCUUCCCUGGCUGGCCCACGGCCCCUCUUGCCGACUGCAGCAUGGGAAAAGGUUGUCAUCGUCCCGGAGCAAAGAUGAAAUCCAGGGCCUGCCGUUCAGCUGCUGCCACAUUUGGAUGCCACAGAUCCACCAUGAAAACCACCCGUGGGCCAUCCUCUGCUGAACCUGGGAAGGGGAGCACGAGAGGACAGGUCUGAGCCACCCCAGAGCCAGGAUCACGCAGGGCUGGACACCACGUGGUUAGCUUCUGUCCCUUGGCACAGAUGGGAAUCAAGAAUGUUAUCAUGAUUUCAUUAUGAUUCUGAGCAGAGUGCGUAAAAGGAACUGGGUGGCAGUGGGGUGGGGUGGUGGCGAAUGAGGAGGGGGCCAAGCCCGGUGGGAUCUGCCCCAGUACCCACUUAGGGCAGUGAAGCAGAUUCCAUAUGAUCCUGUGAUGGUGGAUACAUGACUUUACAUAUUCGUCAAAAUCAACAGAAUGUACUCCACCAACGUGAACCCUAAUGUAAUGUAUGGUCUCUAGUUAAUAAUAACGCGUCAGUAUGGCUCAUCAAUUAGAACAAAUGUACCACUCUAAUGCAAGACGUUAAUGAAAGGGGAAAUUGUGUGUGGAGGUGAUGUGCACUUUCUGCUCCGUUUCUCUGGAAACCUAAAACUCCUCUAAAGAAGAAAGUCUGUAAUUUAAACCAAAAAGGCGGCGAAGGGGAAGGCUGAC
Manis javanica (Malayan pangolin) is the source of this 4762-nucleotide non-coding RNA. NCBI's taxonomy places the organism in Eukaryota, Metazoa, Chordata, Mammalia, Pholidota, Manidae. The record is from RefSeq and is a predicted model, not a curated record.